UUCAGAGCGGAGCUUGCCUAGGAUGGAAUUUGGUGCUUGCACCAAAUGAAACUAGAUACAAGCGAGCGGCGGACGGGUGAGUAACACGUGGGUAACCUGCCCAAGAGACUGGGAUAACACCUGGAAACAGAUGCUAAUACCGGAUAACAACACUAGACGCAUGUCUAGAGUUUAAAAGAUGGUUCUGCUAUCACUCUUGGAUGGACCUGCGGUGCAUUAGCUAGUUGGUAAGGUAACGGCUUACCAAGGCAAUGAUGCAUAGCCGAGUUGAGAGACUGAUCGGCCACAUUGGGACUGAGACACGGCCCAAACUCCUACGGGAGGCAGCAGUAGGGAAUCUUCCACAAUGGACGCAAGUCUGAUGGAGCAACGCCGCGUGAGUGAAGAAGGGUUUCGGCUCGUAAAGCUCUGUUGGUAGUGAAGAAAGAUAGAGGUAGUAACUGGCCUUUAUUUGACGGUAAUUACUUAGAAAGUCACGGCUAACUACGUGCCAGCAGCCGCGGUAAUACGUAGGUGGCAAGCGUUGUCCGGAUUUAUUGGGCGUAAAGCGAGUGCAGGCGGUUCAAUAAGUCUGAUGUGAAAGCCUUCGGCUCAACCGGAGAAUUGCAUCAGAAACUGUUGAACUUGAGUGCAGAAGAGGAGAGUGGAACUCCAUGUGUAGCGGUGGAAUGCGUAGAUAUAUGGAAGAACACCAGUGGCGAAGGCGGCUCUCUGGUCUGCAACUGACGCUGAGGCUCGAAAGCAUGGGUAGCGAACAGGAUUAGAUACCCUUGGUAGUCCAUGCCGUAAACGAUGAGUGCUAAGUGUUUGGGAGGUUUCCGCCUCUCAGUGCUGCAGCUUAACGCAUUUAGCACUCCGCCUGGGGGAGUACGACCGCAAGGUUGNAACUCAAAGGAAUUUG
This 901-nucleotide ribosomal RNA is filed under the name Lactobacillus gasseri. RNAcentral's name for it is "bacterial SSU rRNA". It matches the Rfam family "Bacterial small subunit ribosomal RNA", at positions 1 to 913 of the family's 1533-position model. Lineage: Bacteria; Bacillati; Bacillota; Bacilli; Lactobacillales; Lactobacillaceae. The record is from RNAcentral.